Molecule: ribosomal RNA, 502 nt
Filed under: uncultured Eubacteriales bacterium
Lineage: Bacteria; Bacillati; Bacillota; Clostridia; Eubacteriales
Description: bacterial SSU rRNA
Rfam family: Bacterial small subunit ribosomal RNA
Source: RNAcentral
UAGAGUUUCGUAUCCUAGGCUCAGGAGAACGCUGCGGCGUGCCUAACACAUAGCAAGUGAACAAGCUUGAAUUCUAGAUUUCUUCGGAAUGAAGAAUGAUAUGACUGAGUGGCGGACGGGUGAGUAACGCGUGAGCAACCUGCCCUUCGAGGGGGAUAGUGUCUGGAAACGGACAGUAAUACCGCAUAACGUAUUUUUACCGCAUGAUAGAAAUACCAAAACUGAGGUGCCGAAGGAUGGGCUCGCGUUGGAUUAGAUAGUUGGUGGGGUAACGGCCUACCAAGUCAACGAUCCAUAGCCGGACUGAGAGGUUGAACGGCCACAUUGGGACUGAGACACGGCCCAGACUCCUACGGGAGGCAGCAGUGGGGAAUAUUGCACAAUGGGGGAAACCCUGAUGCAGCAACGCCGCGUGAAGGAAGACGGUUUUCGGAUUGUAAACUCCUGUUCUUAGUGAAGAAAAAUGACGGUAGCUAAGGAGCAAGCCACGGCUAACUACGUG